RNAcentral lists this ribosomal RNA (279 nucleotides) under uncultured bacterium. RNAcentral describes it as "partial 16S ribosomal RNA". It matches the Rfam family "Bacterial small subunit ribosomal RNA", at positions 506 to 784 of the family's 1533-position model. The record is from RNAcentral.
UGCCAGCCGCCGCGGUAAUACGGAGUGUGCAAGCGUUGUUCGGAAUUACUGGGUGUAAAGCGCGCGUAGGCGGCUUGGUAAGUCAGAUGUGAAAUCCCUCGGCUCAACCGAGGAACUGCAUUUGAAACUGCUAGGCUUGAGUACGGGAGGGGGAAGCGGAAUUCCCAGUGUAGAGGUGAAAUUCGUAGAUAUUGGGAGGAACACCAGCGGCGAAGGCGGCUUCCUGGACCGAUACUGGCGCUGAGGCGCGAAAGCCUGGGCAGCUAACAGGAUUAGAUA